RNAcentral lists this transfer RNA (70 nucleotides) under Rotunda rotundapex. RNAcentral describes it as "tRNA-Trp". The record is from RNAcentral. Lineage: Eukaryota; Metazoa; Arthropoda; Insecta; Lepidoptera; Bombycidae.
AAGGUUUUAAGUUAAAAUAAACUAAUAAUUUUCAAAAUUAUUAAUAAAGAACAAUUAUCUUUAAGCCUUA